UGUGGUUAUGCGGUAGGGGCACCCAAAAACAAUUCAACAGGAAACGCUACCAUGGGGGAUCAAGAGCUUCUCAAUGAGUUCAAGGCUGAAAGGAAUUUUCCCACUAUGAGGUAAGGAACAAAUUCGAAAGAAGAAUUACCACAAACACCUUCAAUCCUUUACUCUUGUUUCUGUGAUUUUUCCUUUUUCUUGCUAUCCAAUCGUUUAUCAGUGAGAAAGAUUCAGAGUGUAACAUCUUUAUCCCUACUUAUAAUCAUCCUUCCUUUGC
RNAcentral lists this unclassified non-coding RNA (268 nucleotides) under Hevea brasiliensis (rubber tree). The record is from RNAcentral. Lineage: Eukaryota; Viridiplantae; Streptophyta; Magnoliopsida; Malpighiales; Euphorbiaceae.